GGGGGCGUAGUCUAGCUUGGUUAGGAUGGAGGCCUUGGGAGCCUCAGGCCUGGGUUCAAAUCCCAGCGCCCCCA
This 74-nucleotide transfer RNA is filed under the name Candidatus Methanodesulfokora washburnensis. RNAcentral describes it as "tRNA-Pro". It matches the Rfam family "tRNA". Rfam says of the family: Transfer RNA (tRNA) molecules are approximately 80 nucleotides in length. Their secondary structure includes four short double-helical elements and three loops (D, anti-codon, and T loops). The record is from RNAcentral. Lineage: Archaea; Thermoproteati; Thermoproteota; Candidatus Korarchaeia. RNAcentral also lists the same sequence under 1 other name.